This 189-nucleotide ribosomal RNA is filed under the name uncultured bacterium. RNAcentral's name for it is "partial 16S ribosomal RNA". It matches the Rfam family "Bacterial small subunit ribosomal RNA", at positions 1304 to 1500 of the family's 1533-position model. The record is from RNAcentral.
UCUGCAACUCGACUCCAUGAAGCUGGAUUCGCUAGUAAUCGCGCAUCAGCCACGGCGCGGUGAAUACGUUCCCGGGCCUUGUACACACCGCCCGUCAAGCCAUGGAAGCCGGGGGUGCCUGAAGUGCGCUGCCGCAAGGAGCGUCCUAGGGUAAAACCGGUGACUGGGGCUAAGUCGUAACAAGGUAUC